RNAcentral lists this long non-coding RNA (1497 nucleotides) under Canis lupus familiaris (dog). RNAcentral's name for it is "lncRNA (ENSCAFG00845023920.1)". Lineage: Eukaryota; Metazoa; Chordata; Mammalia; Carnivora; Canidae. The record is from RNAcentral.
UUUUUUUUUUUUUUUUUUUUUUUUUUUUUUUUUUUUGGUGUGGGGGGACCUGGUUGAUUUCUUCAGACAUACUGAGACCUGUAACAUCAACCACCCUUGGAGCUCACUGCAGGGUUGGAGCUGCAGACUCAUGCUGUCAGACCUUCCCCUUCACCUCUGGUCCCUGGAAAAUCACCGUGUUCUCUGUACCCCUUGCUGACCUCUGAAGCCAAACAACAUCAAGUCCCAAUGCUUGCUCUGCGUUGGAUGGCAUCAACCACAUAAAAAAUUGGCGUGGUGAAUCACCUCUGCCUUCAAAAAUCUUACUAAGGGCUCACAAGAAAAAUAACCAAACGAGAUGUUCUUGCCCUCUAUUUUCCUGCCACGCAUUGCUAGGAGGAGAAGCUGAAUGCUCCUUUCAUUCAAUAUACAACACACCUUUUCUAGCCACUUGAUUGGGUGUCCCUGAGAGGAGGGGGAUCAAGAGGUGACAAAAGCAGAGUUUGGGAGUUUGAGAGCCUUUCCACUUUAUGGGUCAUUCUCAUCAGUCAUCUGUUCUGGAAAGGCCACCCACCUGCUUUCUUCAUUCCAGUCUCCCAUUUCAACAGUGAACUGGGUGUUCUCCAUCUAUCUGGGAACUCUUGCCCUUGGCCCCUCUCAUCAGACUUAGAGGACUUCCCUCUUGAUGGCAGUGUGAUGGCAUAGGCUUCGGAAACCCUACCCAGCUCCAAGUUAAACCCUCUCUUCUUCCAAGUUGACGUUUCUACCUCCGAAUUACUACCUGAUGGUAGGCGGGGGUAGAAAUGAGAACCAGGGAAGAGGUAUUACCUGCUAUGUCUCAUCUUUUUCCACUUGUAAAUCACCCAUCCCAUUGUUCAAAGGGUUGUAAUCAUGGUUGGCAUUUAUAAAGCUUUUUUUUAUGGUCUUGAAGCACUUGGCAAUCCUAUGUAACUACACAAUUAUCUUGAGAGACACAUCAGUGCAAUCUUCCUUUUGUAAGCAGGGAAAAUGAGCACUCACAGCAGAGGGUUCUGGUAGAGCUCUGGUCACUCAUGAAUUCAUUAAUCAGUUUUUGAGUGGCUACUCCACAGUGGGUUUAAGGAGGUAUUCAAAAAUUACUAAGGUUUCAUCCCUUCCUUUGAAGAAUUCAAAGUAAAGUAGGAAAAAAGAUAGAUGUGAACUAAUGAAACAAUUAAAAAAAAAAAAGCCGUGUGAAGGGAGAGGGAAGGGAGUGGUUGCAAAGAGAGAAAGCUUCACAAGAAAAGGUUAAGCUGGGUCUUGAGUGCUAGCUCUGCUCCCCAAGCAGAAAGGAGCAUGUGACAUCUCAUUUGACCACAGUGUCCUCCACUGAAAAAGUACGGGAUUUGAGGGGCACCUGGAUGGCUCAGUGGUUGAGCAUCUGCGUUUGUGAUUCGGGUUGUGAUCUGGGGGUCCCGGAUCGAGUCCCACAUCGGGCUCCCUGCAUGGAGCCUGCUUCUCCCUCUGCCUGUGUCUCUGCCUCUCUCUGUCUCUCAUGAA